Molecule: ribosomal RNA, 389 nt
Filed under: uncultured bacterium
Lineage: Bacteria
Description: partial 16S ribosomal RNA
Rfam family: Bacterial small subunit ribosomal RNA
Source: RNAcentral
CCUACGGGAGGCAGCAGUGAGGAAUAUUGGUCAAUGGGCGGAAGCCUGAACCAGCCAAGUCGCGUGCAGGAUGACGGCCCUAUGGGUUGUAAACCGCUUUUAUACGGGAGUAACGCGCCUUACGCGUAGCGUUUUGCAUGUACCGUACGAAAAAGGAUCGGCUAAUUCCGUGCCAGCAGCCGCGGUAAUACGGAAGGUCCGGGCGUUAUCCGGAUUUAUUGGGUUUAAAGGGAGCGUAGGCGGGAUGUCAAGCGUGCUGUGAAAUGUCCGGGCUCAACCCAGGCCUUGCAGGGGAAACUGGCGUUCUUGAGUGCGCGGGAAGGAGGCGGAAUGCGUGGUGUAGCGGUGAAAUGCAUAGAUAUGACGAAGAACCCCGAUUGCGAAGGCAG